GCCGGGGUGGUGAAAUCGGUAAACACAGGGGACUUAAAAUCCCCCGGGCUUAGGCCCUUGCGGGUUCAAGUCCCGCCCCCGGCA
This 84-nucleotide transfer RNA is filed under the name Longimicrobiales bacterium. RNAcentral's name for it is "tRNA-Leu". It matches the Rfam family "tRNA". Rfam says of the family: Transfer RNA (tRNA) molecules are approximately 80 nucleotides in length. Their secondary structure includes four short double-helical elements and three loops (D, anti-codon, and T loops). Further hydrogen bonds mediate the characteristic L-shaped molecular structure. tRNAs have two regions of fundamental functional importance: the anti-codon, which is responsible for specific mRNA codon recognition, and the 3' end, to which the tRNAs corresponding amino acid is attached (by aminoacyl-tRNA synthetases). tRNAs cope with the degeneracy of the genetic code in two manners: having more than one tRNA (with a specific anti-codon) for a particular amino acid; and 'wobble' base-pairing, i.e. permitting non-standard base-pairing at the 3rd anti-codon position. The record is from RNAcentral. Lineage: Bacteria; Pseudomonadati; Gemmatimonadota; Longimicrobiia; Longimicrobiales.